ACAGCGCGGAUCGGGGCUGGGAG
This 23-nucleotide microRNA is filed under the name Gallus gallus (chicken). Its description in RNAcentral is "gga-miR-7477-5p". Lineage: Eukaryota; Metazoa; Chordata; Aves; Galliformes; Phasianidae. The record is from miRBase by way of RNAcentral.